Molecule: long non-coding RNA, 787 nt
Filed under: Marmota monax (woodchuck)
Lineage: Eukaryota; Metazoa; Chordata; Mammalia; Rodentia; Sciuridae
Source: RNAcentral
AUGCCAGGUGUUAUUUUGACUUGUUUACAGACUCUUGGUGGGACACUUAUCUACAAGUCUUUUUACAUUUAAGACAAGUGGUUGUUAUGGAACACUAGGGAUGGAAUCGGGUGUGAUUGCUGAUCCUCAAAUAACAGCAUCGUCUGUACUGGAGUGGACUGACCACACAGGGCAAGAGAAUAGUUGGAAACCUGAGAAGGCCAGGCUGAAAAAGCCUGGCCCUCCUUGGGCUGCUUUUGUCACUGAUGAGUAUCAGUGGUUACAAAUAGAUCUGAAUAAGGAAAAGAAGAUAACAGGCAUUAUAACCACCGGAUCCACUUUGGUGGAACACAAUUACUAUGUGUCUGCCUACAGAAUUAUGUACAGUGACGAUGGGCAGAAAUGGACUGUGUACAGAGAGCCUGGUGUGGAGCAGGAUAAGAUAUUUCAAGGAAACAAAGAUUAUCACCAGGAUGUGCGUAAUAACUUUUUGCCACCAAUUAUUGCACGUUUUAUUAGAGUGAAAGAAAAAGAAAGUCUGCAAAGGCCUAUCCACAAGUAUGGCUGUAUGCUGGACCGGUAGUCAGUGACGGGUAUGAUCCAAUUGCAGUGGUACCAACCUAAGACAGGAGGCUGACGCCUAGAGGUCAGUUCAUCCGAUGACGGGUAAGGACCAUAUGUUGAAUUGGACUGCCUAACAGGCACGGUCCCUAAGCCACAUGCUUGUUGUUUAAACAGAGAGGGGGAGAUGUUGAGAGCCACAGCCAAAGGGGCCCCAGCAAACUUCCAGCUGCCAGCAAACUUCCAG